Molecule: ribosomal RNA, 406 nt
Filed under: uncultured bacterium
Lineage: Bacteria
Description: partial 16S ribosomal RNA
Rfam family: Bacterial small subunit ribosomal RNA
Source: RNAcentral
AUUGAACGCUGGCGGCAGGCCUAACACAUGCAAGUCGAACGAGUGGCGGACGGGUGAGUAAUGUCUGGGAAACUGCCUGAUGGAGGGGGAUAACUACUGGAAACGGUAGCUAAUACCGCAUACCAUCGGAUGUGCCCAGAUGGGAUUAGCUAGUAGGUUGGGUAAAGGAUCACCUAGGCGACGAUCCCUAGCUGGGCUGAGAGGAUGACAAGCAACACGGGAAAUGAGACACGGUCCAGACUCAUACGGGAGGCAGCAGUGGGGAAUGUUGCACAAUGGGCGGAAGGCUGAUGCAGCCAUGCCGCGUGUAUGAAGAAGGCCUUCGGGUUGUAAAGGACUUUCAGUGGGGAGGCGUUACCCGCAGAAGAAGCACCGGCUAACUCCGUGCCAGCAGCCGCGGUAAUUC